CUAAGGUCCGUCAGCUGAUCCUUUCUCAGAUGCUUUAAUUCUUACCAUACUCAGUGCUUUACGACCCUAAAGCCUUCAUCACAGACGCGGCGUCCCUCAUUCACACUUGCGGGCAUUGCGAAAAAUACCCUACUGCUGCCUCCCGUAGGAGUAAUGGAAUCAUGGAGGGAGUAAGUCUGCCUACCGAUUCCACAGGUUUUAACGGGUAUAUGAUCAGGUCCUUUUAAAAAGCCAGACUAACUUCAUGCCAACACCGCUUUCAUCCUGACAGUACAUUACCAGAAAGGGAUGGCUAACUACCUGCCAUCAGCCCGGUAAUACAGG
Molecule: ribosomal RNA, 324 nt
Filed under: uncultured Leuconostoc sp.
Lineage: Bacteria; Bacillati; Bacillota; Bacilli; Lactobacillales; Lactobacillaceae
Description: partial 16S ribosomal RNA
Source: RNAcentral